UUGAGACACAGGGAGCAAUCACAGCCAAGAUGAAACUGAAAGCUCUCAGUCCCAUAUUGAGUUAGGCUUGUGUUGUGUUUAACCUUCAGUGACCUUAAGGAGUUACCGUGAAAUUGUUGCAACUGUAAAUUGUUGUAACUUGGUUAUCAUGAGACUACCAAGAAGUCACAGACGAUUUCUUGCUUGGUUUCAUGUCCCUAUUUCUGCUAAUUAGAUCAUGACAGGAUUUCCAGUUAUUCACAGUGGUUUGCUUCACAGCUGUGUGCCAGAAGAGUGCUAUUCACAGUCUAAUAGAUAAUUGUGUCUGUCAGUGAAAACACUAACUUGGUUGUCUGAGUUUUUGUCUUAGUUUUCCAUCUAAGAAAGCUUCGGAAGGAUAAACCGAAUCCUAAAUGGAGUAUCGUACAAUACAAGUCCUGACAAAAACAGGUACCAAGUCACCGUGCUACUUGAUGUCCUGCAUAGAGAAAGAUGUUACAGAGGGAUAUACAUGUACCUCAUGACUGAAGAACAGGAAGGAGAUGGGAAAUAGGGACGUGACUGAUCCACAGGUGCAUUGGAGAGCGGCUGCUGGUGAGUAAUAACAAAGCUUGUUCAAAUAGUUCUCCACCCCUGUCUUGAUAAACUUAUUUUGAUCCUGUGAAAUACU
This 649-nucleotide long non-coding RNA is filed under the name Lepidothrix coronata (blue-crowned manakin). Its description in RNAcentral is "lncRNA (ENSLCOG00000002087.1)". The record is from RNAcentral. Lineage: Eukaryota; Metazoa; Chordata; Aves; Passeriformes; Pipridae.